RNAcentral lists this ribosomal RNA (376 nucleotides) under uncultured bacterium. Its description in RNAcentral is "bacterial SSU rRNA". It matches the Rfam family "Bacterial small subunit ribosomal RNA", at positions 524 to 898 of the family's 1533-position model. The record is from RNAcentral.
UACGGAAGGGGCAAGCGUUGUUCGGAAUCAUUGGGCGUAAAGGGCGCGUAGGUGGUCCUAUGUGUCUACUGUGAAAGCACACGGCUCAACCGUGUCGGGUCGGUAGAAACUGUAGGACUUGAGGCUGGGAGGGGCUGGUGGAAUUCCCUGUGUAGCGGUGAAAUGCGUAGAGAUGGGGGAGAACACUCGUGGCGAAGGCGGCCAGCUGGACCAGUCCUGACACUGAGGCGCGACAGCAUGGGGAGCAAACAGGAUUAGAUACCCUGGUAGUCCAUGCCGUAAACGAUGGGCACUAGGUGCCGGCGGUAUUAAUCCCGUCGGUGCCGGCGCUAACGCAGUAAGUGCCCCGCCUGGGGAGUACGGUCGCAAGGCUGAA